This 20-nucleotide small RNA is filed under the name Arabidopsis thaliana (thale cress). RNAcentral describes it as "Ath_wt_07432". Lineage: Eukaryota; Viridiplantae; Streptophyta; Magnoliopsida; Brassicales; Brassicaceae. The record is from RNAcentral.
UUUGAAGCUAGAGGUGUCAG